CCCAGACUCCUACGGGAGGCAGCAGUGGGGGAUAUUGCACAAUGGGGGAAACCCUGAUGCAGCGACGCCGCGUGAGUGAAGAAGUAUUUCGGUAUGUAAAGCUCUCUCAGCAGGGAAGGAAAAAGACGGUACCUGACUAAGAAGCCCCGGCUAACUACGUGCCAGCAGCCGCGGUAAUACGUAGGGGGCAAGCGUUAUCCGGAUUUACUGGGUGUAAAGGGAGCGUAGACGGCAAUACAAGUCGGAAGUGAAAUACCCGGGCUCAACCUGGGAACUGCUUUGGAAACUGUAUGGCUGGAGUGCUGGAGAGGUAAGCGGAAUUCCUAGUGUAGCGGUGAAAUGCGUAGAUAUUAGGAGGAACACCAGUGGCGAAGGCGGCUUACUGGACAGUAACUGACGUUGAGGCUCGAAAGCGUGGGGAGCAAACAGGAUUAGAUACCCGAGUA
RNAcentral lists this ribosomal RNA (446 nucleotides) under uncultured bacterium. RNAcentral describes it as "bacterial SSU rRNA". It matches the Rfam family "Bacterial small subunit ribosomal RNA", at positions 330 to 792 of the family's 1533-position model. The record is from RNAcentral.